Molecule: long non-coding RNA, 1023 nt
Filed under: Coturnix japonica (Japanese quail)
Lineage: Eukaryota; Metazoa; Chordata; Aves; Galliformes; Phasianidae
Description: lncRNA (ENSCJPG00005011461.1)
Source: RNAcentral
GAUCCCACUGAUGAUCCCAUCCAUCCCAAUGAUCCCACCGAUGAUCCCAUCCAUAAUGAUCCCACUGAUGAUCCCAUCCAUCCCAAUUCUCCCACAGAUGAUCCCAUCCAUCCCAAUGAUCCCACAGAUGAUCCCAUCCAUCCCAAUGAUCCCACUGAUGAUCCCAUCCAUCCCGAUGACCCCACAGAUGAUCCCAUCCAUCCCAAUUCUCCCACAGAUGAUCCCAUCCAUCUCGGCGAUCCCACCCAUCCGCAGUCCCAUGUCACUCUCCGAUGCCAUGACACCAGUGGUGAUCCCACUCAUCCCACUGAUUAUCCCAGCAAUCCCACCCAUCACACUGAUCCCAUCAGCACACUGAUCCCACUGACGCCACUGAUGAUCCCACCAGGGAUCCCACCAAUGAUCCCAUCAGGGACCCCACCCGUGUCACCCAUCGAUGCCAUGAUCCCACCGAUGAUCCCACAUUGGACCCCACCCGUGUCACCCAUUGAUGUCCUGAUCCACUGAUGACCCCACCAAUGAUCCCACCAAUGACCCCACCAUGGACCCCACUCAUCCCACCCAUCCCCUCCAUCCCAGUGAUCCCAUGCAUCCCACGGAUGAUCCCAUCCACUCCAAUGAUCCCAUUAAUCCCAGUGAUAGCAUCCGAUCCCCACUGGUUCGCCAUGAUUGAUCCACCAGUUGGAUUCCACCAUGUCACCCACCAAUGCCAUGAUCCCACUGGUGACCCCACCAUGGAUCCCACUGAUGACACCGCCAUGGACCCCACCCAUGUCACCCGCGAUCUGCCACGAUCCCACCAAUAUCCCACAAUUUGGACCCACCCGUGUCACCCAUUGACUGUCCUGGAUCCACUGAUGACCCCACUAAUGGAUCCCACCUGUGUCACCCAUCGAUGCCACGAUCCCACCAAUGAUCCCACUGAUGACCCCACCAAUGAUCCCACCAAUGAUCCCACCAUGGACCCCAGCUCAUACCACCCAUCCCCUCCAAUCCCAUGAUCCCAUGCAUCACCACCGGAUG